This is a long non-coding RNA of Dreissena polymorpha, 1296 nucleotides long. RefSeq lists it as uncharacterized. The record is from RefSeq and is a predicted model, not a curated record. NCBI's taxonomy places the organism in Eukaryota, Metazoa, Mollusca, Bivalvia, Myida, Dreissenidae. The transcript is spliced from 2 exons.
CUCGAAAAUGUUAAAGUUCUUAUUUCAUGGUAUAACUUUGGUAUGCUUGGACCUAGAGUCUUCAAACUUGACAUGAAGGUUGGCCAGGAUUAACAGAUGACCACUGGUCAUUUCAAGGUCAUUCAUUUGAAGGUCAAGGUCACUGUGACCUUCAUUAUAAAAAUGUUAAAGUUGUUAUAACUUUGGUAUGCUUGGACCUAGAGUCUUGAAACUUGACAUGAAGGUUGGCCAGAACUAGUAAGUAACCACUGGACAUUUCAAGGUCAUUCAUUUGAAGGUCAAGGUCACUGUGACCUUAUAUGUAAAAAUGUUAAAGUUGUUAUAACUUUGGUAUGCUUGGACCUAGAGUCUUGAAACUUGACAUGAAGGUUGGCCAGAACUAGUAAGUAACCACUGGACAUUUCAAGGUCAUUCAUUUGAAGGUCAAGGUCACUGUGACCUUGAAUGUAAAAAUGUUAAAGUUCUUAUUUCAUGUUAUAACUUUGGUAUGCUUGUACCUAGAGUCUUCAAACUUGAAAUAAAGAUUGGCCAGUACUAGAAGAUGACCACUGGUCAUUUCAAUGUCAUUCAUUUGAAGGUCAAGGUCACUGUGACCUUAAAUGUUAAAAUGUUAAAAUUGUUAUAACUUUGGUGUGCUUGGACAUAGAGUCUUCAAACUUGACAUGAAGGUUUGCAAGCACACUUAGAUGACCACUGGUCAUUUCAAGGUCAUUCAUUCUAAGGUCAAGGUCACUGUGACCUUGAAUGUAAAAAUGUUAAAGUUCUUAUAACUUUGGUAGGUAAAAAUGUUAAAUGUCAAUUCAAGUUCAUAUUUGUGACCUUAAAUGUUAUUGUUGUUCAUGUAUAUGCAUGCAUUCAAAACAUAACACAAGGUUUGCUCAUGCCUUGAAAAGUACUUACAUUUCAUUUUUACCUUUGAACAAUAUUUCAGUAAUUUAAGUAUUGCAUUGACAAAAACACGAAAGGUACUUUCCUGUCAUUUAAAUCAAAAAUCCGGCUUCAAUGCGGUCAUCUCCGACCGCGGAACUCUUGUUUUAAUUUGUUUAGCAGUCACAUAAACAACCAAGCUAUGUAAUAUGGAAUUUUUACACCCAUUAUUGCUGCUUCUUCCUGUAUUUGCGCGAUGAUUAUCUGAGAUAUUUACUCUAUGAUUAUACAUUCUCAAAUCUUUUCUAUAAAGAAGGAAUGUAGUUGACAAUUGUUAAUAGUUUUAUUUGAUCGUUCGUCAAAAAGUUGUAAUUCUGUUACUCUUGUAUCUUCAAUGCAAUUGAGUAAUUAAAUAGUAAUUAAAUUGAA